UACGUAGGAGACGAGCGUUGUCCGGAAUUACUGGGCGUAAAGCGCGUGUAGGCGGAUGAGCAAGUCUGCUGUGAAAGCUCCUGGCUUAACCGGGAGUGGUCGGUGGAAACUGCUCGUCUGGAGGACGGUAGAGGUAGGUAGAAUUCCCGGUGUAGUGGUGAAAUGCGUAGAGAUCGGGAGGAAUACCUGUGGCGAAGGCGGCCUACUGGGCCGGACCUGACGCUGAGACGCGAAGGCGUGGGGGAGCGAACGGG
RNAcentral lists this ribosomal RNA (254 nucleotides) under uncultured bacterium. Its description in RNAcentral is "partial 16S ribosomal RNA". It matches the Rfam family "Bacterial small subunit ribosomal RNA", at positions 524 to 776 of the family's 1533-position model. The record is from RNAcentral.